GAGUUUGAUCAUGGCUCAGAACGAACGCUGGCGGCAGGCUUAACACAUGCAAGUCGAACGCCCCGCAAGGGGAGUGGCAGACGGGUGAGUAACACGUGGGAACAUACCCUUCGGUUCGGAACAACGUUUGGAAACGGACGCUAAUACCGGAUACGCCCUAUUGGGGAAAGGCUUGCUGCCGAAGGAUUGGCCCGCGUUCGAUUAGCUAGAUGGCGGGGUAAUGGCCCACCAUGGCGACGAUCGAUAGCUGGUCUGAGAGGAUGGCCAGCCACAUUGGGACUGAGACACGGCCCAAACUCCUACAGGAGGCAGCAGUGGGGAAUAUUGGACAAUGGGCGCAAGCCUGAUCCAGCCAUGCCGCGUGAGUGAUGACGGCCUUAGGGUUGUAAAGCUCUUUCGCACGCGACGAUAAUGACGGUAGCGUGAGAAGAAGCCCCGGCUAACUUCGUG
Molecule: ribosomal RNA, 450 nt
Filed under: uncultured eubacterium WR895
Lineage: Bacteria
Description: bacterial SSU rRNA
Rfam family: Bacterial small subunit ribosomal RNA
Source: RNAcentral